AGGAGUGUAGCUCAAUUGGUAGAGCACCGGUCUCCAAAACCGGGGGUUAGGGGUUCGACACCUCUCGCUCCUGCCA
Molecule: transfer RNA, 76 nt
Filed under: Hyalomma marginatum
Lineage: Eukaryota; Metazoa; Arthropoda; Arachnida; Ixodida; Ixodidae
Also listed under: 1 other name
Description: tRNA-Trp(cca)
Rfam family: tRNA
About the family: Transfer RNA (tRNA) molecules are approximately 80 nucleotides in length. Their secondary structure includes four short double-helical elements and three loops (D, anti-codon, and T loops).
Source: RNAcentral